RNAcentral lists this ribosomal RNA (497 nucleotides) under uncultured bacterium. Its description in RNAcentral is "partial 16S ribosomal RNA". It matches the Rfam family "Bacterial small subunit ribosomal RNA", at positions 28 to 507 of the family's 1533-position model. The record is from RNAcentral.
GAUGAACGCUGGCGGCGUGCCUAAUACAUGCAAGUCGAGCGAACAGACGAGGAGCUUGCUCCUCUGACGUUAGCGGCGGACGGGUGAGUAACACGUGGAUAACCUACCUAUAAGAGUGGGAUAACUUCGGGAAACCGGAGCUAAUACCGGAGAAUAUAUUGAACCGCAUGGUUCAAUAGUGAAAGACGGUGUUGCGGUCACUUAUAGAGGGAUCCGCGCUGUAUUAGCUGGUUGGUAAGGUAACGGCUUAGCAAGGCAACGAGGCGUAGGCGAGCGGUGGGGGUGAUCGGCCACCUGGGAGCUUGGCCGCGCUCCAUGCUCCUGCGGGACGCCCCAGUCGGCAAUCUGCCGCAGUGGUCGAAAGCCUUACGGAGCGACCCCACGUCUGUGAUGACGGCCCUCCGUGCGUGAUGCUCUGUUUCUGGGGAUGAACCGCUUUGUAAUUAACUGUGCACGUAUUGACGGUACCUGAUCAGAAAGCCCCGGCUAACUACGUG